This 460-nucleotide ribosomal RNA is filed under the name uncultured bacterium. Its description in RNAcentral is "partial 16S ribosomal RNA". It matches the Rfam family "Bacterial small subunit ribosomal RNA", at positions 338 to 795 of the family's 1533-position model. The record is from RNAcentral.
CCUACGGGGGGCAGCAGUGAGGAAUAUUGGUCAAUGGACGAGAGUCUGAACCAGCCAAGUAGCGUGAAGGAUGACUGCCCUAUGGGUUGUAAACUUCUUUUAUAUGGGAAUAAAAUGUUCCACGUGUGGGAUUUUGUAUGUACCAUAUGAAUAAGGAUCGGCUAACUCCGUGCCAGCAGCCGCGGUAAUACGGAGGAUCCGAGCGUUAUCCGGAUUUAUUGGGUUUAAAGGGAGCGUAGGUGGAUUGUUAAGUCUGGUGUUAAAUGCAGAAGCUCAACUUCUGUUCGGCACUGGAUACUGGCAAACUAGAAUGCGUUAGAGGUGAAGGGAAUUCCUGGUGUAGCGGUGAAAUGCUUAGAUAUCAGGAGGAACAUCGGUGGCGUAAGCGCUUUACUGGGCCGUAAUUGACGCUGAGGAACGAAAGCCAGGGUAGCAAAUGGGAUUAGAUACCCUUGUAGUC